CCCUUAGAUGUUCUGGGCUGCACGCGCGCUACACUGAUGCACUCAACGAGUUUACGACCUUGCCCGAUAGGGUUGGGUAAUCUUUUUAAAAUGCAUCGUGAUGGGGAUAGAUUAUUGCAAUUAUUAAUCUUCAACGAGGAAUUCCUAGUAAGCGCGAGUCAUCAGCUCGUGCUGAUUACGUCCCUGCCCUUUGUACACACCGCCCGUCGCUCCUACCGAUUGAGUGCUCAGGUGAAUAAUUCGGACUGCAGCAAUGUUUGGAUCCCGAACGUUGCAGCGGAAAGUUUAGUGAACCUUAUCACUUAGAGGGAGGAGAAGUCGUAACA
This 326-nucleotide ribosomal RNA is filed under the name uncultured eukaryote. RNAcentral's name for it is "partial 18S ribosomal RNA". It matches the Rfam family "Eukaryotic small subunit ribosomal RNA", at positions 1470 to 1796 of the family's 1831-position model. The record is from RNAcentral.